RNAcentral lists this long non-coding RNA (315 nucleotides) under Malus domestica (apple). RNAcentral's name for it is "long non-coding RNA (MDOM_LNC013581)". Lineage: Eukaryota; Viridiplantae; Streptophyta; Magnoliopsida; Rosales; Rosaceae. The record is from RNAcentral.
AACGAUCCCUACUUACAUACUUUACUACAUUUGAUAAAAAGAGGGUUUAAUUUUGUGUGUUAACUUAUUUCACGCAUCAAAUUUUGGCGCCGUUGCCGGGGAUUAGCAACUUUGCUAAUCUCUUGGAUUGUUUUCUUUCGAAUUAUUGUAUUUUGUUUAAGUUUCUGUUUAAGUUGCUGAUUUGUUUUGUUUUCUUUGUUUUUAGGUACUAGUUUAUGACCCGUAGCUCACAACCUGUUCGCGAGCAUAUCUCCGACUUUGACGGUGAUUUUGAGAGGACUUUGAGAAGGAAAAAGAAAUUGCAAGAGUCUAAUC